GACGAACGCUGGCGGCGUGCUUAACACAUGCAAGUCGAACGGUGAAGCGCUUGCCUUUUUGGUGGGUGUGGAUGAGUGGCGAACGGGUGAGUAACACGUGAGUAACCUGCCCUCUUCUUCUGGAUAACCUCAUGAAAGUGGGGCUAAUACGGGGUAUUCCGGGUCUGUCGCAUGGCGGGUUUGGGAAAGAUUGCGCCUUUGGGUGUUUUCGGUGGGGGAUGGGCUCGCGGCCUAUCAGCUUGUUGGUGGGGUGAUGGCCUACCAAGGCGGUGACGGGUAGCCGGCCUGGGAGGGUGGACGGCCACAAUGGGACUGAGACACGGCCCAGACUCGUGCGGGAGGCAGCAGUGGGGAAUAUUGCACAAUGGGCGCAAGCCUGAUGCAGCGACGCCGCGUGAGGGAUGGAGGCCGUCGGGUUGUGAACCUCUUUCGCCAGUGAAGCAGGCCUGCUCCUGUGUGGGUGGGUUGACGGUAGCUGGAGAAGAAGCGCCGGCUAACUACGUG
This 504-nucleotide ribosomal RNA is filed under the name uncultured bacterium. RNAcentral describes it as "partial 16S ribosomal RNA". It matches the Rfam family "Bacterial small subunit ribosomal RNA", at positions 28 to 507 of the family's 1533-position model. The record is from RNAcentral.